UGUGUCUGUUUUUCCCAGACCUUACAGAUACCUUUGGCCCUGAACACAAGGCUGGGGGAAUGACCACAGCUAUAUGGAUUCCAGCUCCUGUUACUCUGCCCUAUUACUCACUCUCUGGGUCUCUGAGAGGGGAAGUUUUGUGCAAUUUAAAAAAUCAAAUCAAGUCUGGGCUCCAGAGACUGCUCUCACCCCGUAUCAGAGGACCAGUAGGGAACAUGUGACUAACGUCAGUCAAUUGCUGACAUCGGUCAAGUACUUUUUAUUCUGCAACACUCUUUCACACACACGAUAUUGCACAAAUCUUAAAACUACCCUGUGAGGGAAACAUCAUCAUCGCCAUUUUAUGGGUGACGAAACCAAGGCUCGGAAAAGCUAAGUAACUCACUCAGAGCCACAGAGUUAAGUGACAGAGCUGGAACUCAAAUGCAGGUUUUCUGCCUCUAAAGCCCAUGCUUUCCUUUGUGCCUCAGCGGGCCUCCUCCCUCCUCAUCCCACGGCAGCAGACCAGUGGCUAACUUAAUACUUGCUCCCACCUUCUCAGCUAGGCUGCUGGAAUUCCUCCCCAGUCAUUCUCUUUCAAUUUCCACAGUUUCCCUGAAGUUUACUGACCUCCUCCUCCCCAACACCCAGCUGCCACCAACACACACACACCAAUCCAGCACAGACAACACAGAGUGAACGAGGAGUGAGAAUUCUUAGAUAGUGGCUGGAGCUGUAGAGCUUCAGAGACCUUCCCAUUUCUGCCUCUAUUUCUCAGCUGACGCUCAGGUCUCUGGAACUGGGGAUCUCAUGCUGCCCACCCUCAUUAUCAACUGCUGACAGAAUGGAGCAUUAACAAUGACCCAUAGAAACAGCAAUCCCGUCUGUUUGUCUUGGCUAUAUCCUUGCCUUACUCCCAAGCACAAGAACAGAGUCCUACCUUCCUAAAGGGUUAUCUCUCUCUCUCUCUCUCUCUCUAUAUAUAUAUAUAUAUGUGUGUGUGUGUGUGUGUGUGUGUGUGUGUGUGUAUGUGUGUGUGUGUGUAUAUAGAUAGAUAGAUAGAGAUAUAUAUGUAAAAUCUUUUUUUUUUUUUUGAGACGGAGUCUCACUCUGUCCCCCAGGCUAGAGUGCAACUCCAUCUCCAAAAUAAUAAUAAUAAUACGGAGAAAAGUCUGGAAUGAAGUAAGAAGGCAACAAGAAAGGAGGGAACUAUGAGUCUAGUGCCCUGGGUCGGGGCUGGAGAGGACUAGCCUCAGGGUCUCCCUAUGCCCACCUACCCACUGUCAGCCUUCCUUCACCUGUGUUUGACUUGGCCCUCAGACCCAAGCUCUG
This 1311-nucleotide long non-coding RNA is filed under the name Homo sapiens (human). Its description in RNAcentral is "HSALNT0016451". The record is from RNAcentral. Lineage: Eukaryota; Metazoa; Chordata; Mammalia; Primates; Hominidae.